AUCACCUGUGGGUUCAGAAUCAGAGACCUCCAGCUUAUAUCCCCAUUUUGGGGUAAUUGGAUGGCUGUAUUCAUAGAGCAGCCGGCCCCUGUUUGCUAGCUGAAUGUCGUAACCUGAAUGGCUGUGAUACUGGACAUGCAAAAAUCACAUGUGGCUAUGACCUGCCUGCAAAAUCAAAUUUGGAUGCCAGAAAGCUAUUGAAACUGAAUCGUCUCCUACACCUGAAGAGAUCUAUUACUUCAAUCACUCCACCGAAAAAUCCACCAAAGAUUAAGUAUGUUUCUCUAUUUGAUUCCUGCAGGUUAGGAUUGUUACAAAGCACAAUGACUUAAUGAAAUCUCAAUACUUGUGGCCAAAAUAACAUAGGAUGGAGAGCCAUAGUUUAAAAGUUUAAAAGCUUUGGAGGUCAUCUAGGACACUGAAAUUCUGCGUGCAACUUGUUUAGCUGGAAAACAAAAAGCAUGAAGAUAAGACUGGAAGAUGAACAUCUCAUACCAUCAAUAUAUGGGUGAUUAGAAGCUCUACAACAAUUCUAAAACCCAGCCUAAUAAAGUAUGAAACGUUCUGAGGAAUGUUCAUAAAGACAUGCAAAUGGACUUUGAAAUGGAAAAAAUGCAAAUCAGUUGAGGUGGCACAGGGCCAAUUUACCCAUUCUCUCUCAGGGAAUAUCAGAGCUUCACACAUUUAAUGGGAAAUGUACACAUGCUAACUUCUUUCAGGUGAAAAAAAGAUUCCACCUGCAACUAAUAUUAAAUAUUUGAGAUUUGUUUGCCACUG
This 777-nucleotide small RNA is filed under the name Pongo abelii (Sumatran orangutan). RNAcentral describes it as "processed transcript". The record is from RNAcentral. Lineage: Eukaryota; Metazoa; Chordata; Mammalia; Primates; Hominidae.